Non-coding RNA from Canis lupus familiaris (dog), 73 nucleotides. NCBI's taxonomy places the organism in Eukaryota, Metazoa, Chordata, Mammalia, Carnivora, Canidae. The record is from Rfam.
GCCUGGCUGGCUUAUCUGGUAGAGCAUGUGACUCUUGACCUCAGGGCUGUGAGUUUGAGCCCCAUGUUGGGUG